This is a regulatory RNA element of Nocardiopsis sp. JB363, 107 nucleotides long. It matches the Rfam family "ALIL pseudoknot". NCBI's taxonomy places the organism in Bacteria, Bacillati, Actinomycetota, Actinomycetes, Streptosporangiales, Nocardiopsidaceae. The record is from Rfam.
AGCAUCGCGGAGCUCGACCGCCCACACAUCAGGUAAGAGCGUUCAUCGACAUCCACCAGCACCAGUUCGGGGUCGAGCCGAUCUGCCGCACGCUGCAGGUCGCCCCG